AAAUAUUAGAAUUAGGGAUUACACUUUUCCAGCUUCAAGUGGCAACCAAAAAUAAAAGGUACAGUGCUUAACGUAGAAUUCAUUACAAACCGAAAUUUAAAUUCAAGUUGUUCAAGUACAUUCAUAGGAAAUAUAAGCUGCUCAAAUGCUUUCAAACUUCCCAUCCUGUAAGGAAAACAAAUAAACGUGGGGUGAGCUAAAGCUCAGUGGUGCCCCAAAACAUGCAGUCACGUAAAUCAAACAGCGAGAAAUAACUUAAACAAAUUGAACAGUUAGGAAAGCGUAUAACAGCACAAGGUAGGAUACAGGGGCUCUCAGGAGCCAUUUUCCUCGCUUGAUCACCAUUCAGCGUAGUUGACCCUCCGUCAACUCUCACUACUUAUAGUCCAUGUAGAUCCACUCAUUUUAAUCCUAACUCGUCACCAUUCAUACCCCUGUCCCGGGCCCGAACGUCGACUAAGGACGCAGUAUACUCGAGAUAUACCCGUAGAUAAUUGGACACAGUAUACUUGCGUAUACCCGUAGAUAAUUGGUCGAGGGAUUCACCCAACGACGUUAUCGUAGUUAGAUUCACGCGUCGAGGGAUUCACCCAACGACGUAACUACAUUUAGAUUCAUGGAUUCACGAGAAAAUGAUUCACGCAAGUCACCACUCGAACGGCUAGUGCGAUAAAGUACGCAUUGCUCACUUCGAUGGAUCAAAAACUAGUUUUGCCAAUUAUCACAUAUUGAGUCAAGGAAGCACUUUAACCAAGUAAGCAUAGAACAGGCAGGGACACUCACCAAGAGUGAAGUUCAGAUGUCAAAUUGGAAAUCGAAUUCCGCGUCCUCGCAAUAUCCUAGAAUAUCAAAUGUUGAAACUAUGAGUUUUUAUUCAGUUUUUAAGCUUAUACACAUCGAGGUUUAUCUAAUAUAUUACUAGUUUACUUUCCCACAGUAAAUUCAAAAAUCUAUUUAGGUUGAAACUUGACAAAAGUAGAAGAAAUGUUUCUUAUAGUUUUCCUUGAGGUACUUUUCCUUAUAGAAGGGUAACUAGUAUUAUUCUCUAGACAUAAGUCGACGAACCUCUUAACAUCAAAGCUAGAGGGAUACUUUGAAAAUUUCUUUAAAGCUACGGUUCUUGCAAAAAUUAUCACUAAAAACUAUUUUAUCUAAAAUAAAGUUUCUUGCCGAGCAAGUCCCUACAUUUUUAAUUAAAGUUAUUAAAACUCUUAUUUUGGAACUUUUCCUACUGACAACUAUCCUAGGGCAAAUCUUUAAGAAAGAAAAGGGAUUAAAAUAAGACUUAGGAUUUUCAAAAGCUAGAGAAAUUAUUUUCAAUUAAGGUUGUUUAAAACUUGUACUUUUGAAUUUUUCCUAUAGUCAACUAGCCAAAAAACAAUUCCUAGGGAAAAGAAAGGAAGUAAAACAAAGCCUAGAGUUUUUGAAACUAGUGAAAUCAUUUUCUAAAAAUAAUAAGGCUAGUUUAAGCUUAAAGGAAGAAAUAUCGAGUUGACAAGGUUUAGAAAAUCCCUACAUGAAAUUUUCAAUUUUAACAUACCGUGCUAAGUUUUAUCGCACCAUACUAGGGCGAAAAUAUAUUUAAAUAGCUUGCUUAACACUUUCUCAAGUUCACCAGACCAAAACGGAUUUCUUACGAUUCCGAUUCACACACACGCAAUAUUUUAGAUUCGUCAAUAUAGCAAACUCACAUUUCAAAUAGAAGUCUCACUAGGGCUUCGUCAAUCAUUAGCCCUAAGUUUCAAUAGAUUCAUUUCAAAUCGAGAAUAAAAUAAAUGACCAAGGCUUCGUCAAUCAUUAGCACUUGGUUUUUGGCAAGUUCAUAUCACAUCUCAACUUAAUCGAAAUAAACAUAUUAGCUCCAAACAAGUCCAGCAGUUCAAUUUCACCACACUUAAACACUUAUAUAAAAUUAUUCAAAUGGCUAAGGCUUCAUCAAUCAUUAGCCUUUGACAACCCUCAAUCACAUCCAACCACAAUUAAAUCAGGAAUUCAAUUCACAAACGAGCUAAGUGUUUGAUCCAAGUCAAGAUUUCAAUUUCAUGAAGGACAGGACAUUUCAGCAGGACAGCCUACUUUGAGGAGUCAUGAACAGCAGUACACAUGGAGGAAAAAUAUGAAAUUUCAACAGAACAAAGGCCCAUAAUUCUAGUUUCAAAUGCCACUGACGGCGCCUUAAAUGGAUUUUCGUACACCAAGAUAUAAGCAUUUUGCCUAGACUGGUCAGUGAAAUCCGAAAAUCUGGAAACUCUUGUUCACUUGUGAAAAGCUCCUUUUUCUCUUUUAAAACCAUAAGACUUUUAUUCAAACCAUCCAUACAUCUCUUAUAGAAUUCUAACACCACAUUUUCCAGGCAUUUUCAACCAUUAUGUUUUCAAAGAAAAUUUCACAAUCAAGCUGGAAAUUCUAACUCAAACUUUGGCAACCACAAGGAAAAUUUCCAGCAUUUGUAUACCCACAUUUUUGGUUAAAUCUUUCGAGAUAUCAAAUGUUUCAUUGCUAAACAGCUUUCACAGCUUAACGUGUACAUUUUGUCAUGCAUUUCGGGCUCAUAAUACCCCAAGGAAAAAUUCCAGGAACCACUUAAAAAAAUUCAGUUCAACCUUUCGGUCAUUAAAGUUUCCAGCACUUCGUUGUUUAUAAAUUCAAAAUUUCCUUGGCUAAGACAUGCUAUUAAACUCUCAACUUCAUCAUACAAUUACGUGGCUAGACCGUUAGCAUUUCCAGCUCAAAAAUUAAGUUCGACUAACCACACCAGUCAUCAAAUUUCUAAGAAAGAAUCUUCAGCUAGCCUCGGAAUAAACAUGCAUGCGGCAGGAUACAUUUUGGUUUUAUUUUUCUGGUUCAAACUAACUAAUUAACUACAUGCGUAGCUUAAUCAUCUUGUAAUUUACUAGUUAGUCAUGGUUAGAGGCUCAAAACAGCAAAAUUAUACCACAUGAAACUACAUUAUUCAAGACAACUCUCGGCAGAAAUUUUUUCAUCAAAACAGAAUUUUCCUAAGCUCCUUAGUUCAUCAUCCAAUUUUUUGCUUUAGCUAAAACCUUGUAUUUUGCACUUAAGUCUUACAUGCACAAUUGCUGAAUUAGCUAUCAUUUCCAGACCGGAAAUCAGUUCGGCAACAGCAAUAUACGUUCAUAGCUCCAGAAUUUUGUGCAACUACUCUCGGAUGAGCUUGCAUGUGAUGGAUUCUGUUUCAUUUUUAUUUUCUAGCGUAAUCCAGGCUAAUUAAUUUCAUGCAUGACUUUAUCAUCUUGUUUUCAGGUGAUUAAACACAAAUACAAACUCUGAUCAUCCCACAAUUAACGAAUUAAGGCUACAAAAUCCCAGCUCAAGCUCACGGCAGUACCAUUUUUUCCCAAAACAGAUUUUUCUAAUGCUUUUGAUUCAUCAUCAGACUGCACAGCUCAACAUGCAUGUCCAUAGAUAGUUCAAUCUAUCUCUAAUCAACUUAUUCUAGCUCAGUAAUUACCUCACAAAGAAGAUUAUACGCACGGCAGAAAGCUGAAGUUUCUCCCCUCUUGGUUCACACGCGAUUGAACGUGAUGUUCCUGGUUGCAGAGGUCGCUGCUGUGAUGGUGUUGGGUUGUGAGGAUGUUUUGUAGCUGAUUGAGGUUGCAACCAGGGAUGAAGCUCACGUAGUCUCCCUCUUUUCUCCCCUUUAGCUUACGGACAGAACAGAGGAAGGUUCAGCUCGCGGUUUCUUUUCUUUCCUUUCGGACGCACGGAUGCAGCUCCCUCUCUAGCUCUCUCGUCGAUGAUAACAAGGCAGAGGAUAAUGUUGUUGUGGUCUUGAGGUGUGGUGGUGUGGAGAGGAAAUGGAAAUGAGC
RNAcentral lists this long non-coding RNA (3830 nucleotides) under Coffea arabica (coffee). RNAcentral's name for it is "long non-coding RNA (CARA_LNC002216)". The record is from RNAcentral. Lineage: Eukaryota; Viridiplantae; Streptophyta; Magnoliopsida; Gentianales; Rubiaceae.